Zophobas morio is the source of this 284-nucleotide long non-coding RNA. RefSeq lists it as uncharacterized. Lineage: Eukaryota; Metazoa; Arthropoda; Insecta; Coleoptera; Tenebrionidae. The transcript has 3 exons. The record is from RefSeq and is a predicted model, not a curated record.
CUCAAGUUAAGGGGACCUUCAAGUUCUUCAGAAUUGCUUUACUGUCAAGCGCUCAUCAAAUUAUUGAUUGAUAAAAUUGAGAAUUUUUAUGCUUGUUGGAAUACAGUAAAAGUUAGUCGCGUUUACCACUGCGACGAGAUGUGGAAAAUUGUUUUAGAACUUUUGCAAUAUUAUGCGAAGUUAAAUUUAAUUCCAGACGCUGAUUUAUUUAAUUCCUGCAUGAAGUUAGCGAUCCACACAAGCGACCCCAAUGCUGCCUUACGACUUUUUCAAGAAAUGCGUGC